GACGAACGCUGGCGGCGUGCUUAACACAUGCAAGUCGAACGGAAAGGCCCUGCUUUUGUGGGGUGCUCGAGUGGCGAACGGGUGAGUAACACGAGAGUAACCUGCCCUUGACUUUGGGAUAACUUCAGGAAACUUGGGCUAAUACCGGAUAGGAGCUCCUGCUGCAUGGUGGGGGAUGGAAAGUUUCGGCGGUUGGGGAUGGACUCGCGGCUUAUCAGCUUGUUGGUGGGGUAGUGGCUUACCAAGGCUUUGACGGGUAGCCGGCCUGAGAGGGUGACCGGCCACAUUGGGACUGAGAUACGGCCCAGACUCCUACGGGAGGCAGCAGUGGGGAAUAUUGCACAAUGGGCGGAAGCCUGAUGCAGCAACGCCGCGUGCGGGAUGACGGCCUUCGGGUUGUAAACCGCUUUCGCCUGUGACGAAGCGUGAGUGACGGUAAUGGGUAAAGAAGCACCGGCUAACUACGUG
RNAcentral lists this ribosomal RNA (468 nucleotides) under uncultured bacterium. RNAcentral describes it as "partial 16S ribosomal RNA". It matches the Rfam family "Bacterial small subunit ribosomal RNA", at positions 28 to 507 of the family's 1533-position model. The record is from RNAcentral.